AUACGGAGGAUGCAAGCGUUAUCCGGAUUCAUUGGGUUUAAAGGGUGCGCAGGUGGGCUUGUAAGUCAGUGGUGAAAUGCUGCCGCUUAACGGUAGAAUUGCCAUUGAUACUGAUAAGCUUGAGUACAAUUGAGGUAAGCGGAAUGUGUAGUGUAGCGGUGAAAUGCUUAGAUAUUACACAGAACACCGAUUGCGAAGGCAGCUUACUAAACUGUCACUGACGCUGAUGCACGAAAGCGUGGGGAGC
Molecule: ribosomal RNA, 247 nt
Filed under: uncultured bacterium
Lineage: Bacteria
Description: partial 16S ribosomal RNA
Rfam family: Bacterial small subunit ribosomal RNA
Source: RNAcentral